This 728-nucleotide ribosomal RNA is filed under the name Readerielliopsis fuscoporiae. Its description in RNAcentral is "LSU rRNA". It matches the Rfam family "Eukaryotic large subunit ribosomal RNA", at positions 95 to 848 of the family's 3401-position model. The record is from RNAcentral. Lineage: Eukaryota; Fungi; Ascomycota; Dothideomycetes; Capnodiales; Readerielliopsidaceae.
GAAGCGGCAACAGCUCAAAUUUGAAAUCUGGCGUCUUCGGCGUCCGAGUUGUAAUUUGUAGAGGAUGCUUUUGGGCAGCCACCGGUCUAAGUUCCUUGGAACAGGACGUCAUAGAGGGUGAGAAUCCCGUAUGCGACCGGAAGGGCACCCUUCACAUAGCUCCUUCGACGAGUCGAGUUGUUUGGGAAUGCAGCUCUAAAUGGGAGGUAAAUUUCUUCUAAAGCUAAAUACCGGCCAGAGACCGAUAGCGCACAAGUAGAGUGAUCGAAAGAUGAAAAGCACUUUGGAAAGAGAGUUAAAAAGCACGUGAAAUUGUUGAAAGGGAAGCGCUUGCAACCAGACUUGUCUGCGGUGUUUCCGCCGGUCUUUCUGACCGGUCUACUCACCGUUUGCAGGCCAGCAUCGUUUGGGGCCGCCGGAUAAAAGCUUAGGGAAUGUGGCUCUUCGGAGUGUUAUAGCCCUAGGUGUAAUACGGCGAGCCUCGAGCGAGGUCCGCGCUUCGGCUAGGAUGCUGGCGUAAUGGUUGUAAGCGGCCCGUCUUGAAACACGGACCAAGGAGUCUAACAUCUAUGCGAGUGUUCGGGUGUAAAACCCCUACGCGUAAUGAAAGUGAACGGAGGUGGGAACUUUUUGUGCACCAUCGACCGAUCCUGAUGUCUUCGGAUGGAUUUGAGUAAGAGCAUAGCUGUUGGGACCCGAAAGAUGGUGAACUAUGCCUGAAUAGGGUG